UGCUAGUAAAUUUUAUUUAAUAAGUAGAAUUGAAUGAGUCCCUGUUCUUUGUACACACCGCCCGUCGCUAUCUAAGAUGGUAUUAUCUAUGAACAAAUUUAUAAAGUGAAUAGAUAGUACUAGAUCUGAUAUAAGUCGUAACAUGGUUGCUGUUGGAGAACCAUUAGCAGGAUCAUAA
Molecule: ribosomal RNA, 178 nt
Organism: Nosema bombycis CQ1
Lineage: Eukaryota; Fungi; Microsporidia; Nosematidae
Rfam family: Microsporidia small subunit ribosomal RNA
Source: Rfam